Molecule: ribosomal RNA, 522 nt
Filed under: Semisulcospira libertina
Lineage: Eukaryota; Metazoa; Mollusca; Gastropoda; Semisulcospiridae
Description: partial 16S ribosomal RNA
Rfam family: Bacterial large subunit ribosomal RNA
Source: RNAcentral
AAAAACAUGGCUCUUUGCUCACAUAAAUAUAAAGAGUCGAGCCUGCCCAGUGAAUUUUUAACGGCCGCGGUACUCUGACCGUGCAAAGGUAGCAUAAUCAUUUGCCUUAUAAUUGAAGGCUAGUAUGAAUGGUUUGACGAGAGCAAUACUGUCUCCUUUUUAUUUUCAAGAACUUAACUUUUAGGUGAAGAGGCCUAAAUUCUAUUGAAGGACAAGAAGACCCUGUCGAGCUUAAAAGACAUUAUAGGAGUCUAGUAUAUUUUUAGAUAAAUUUUCUAUCAAGCUUUUUAGUUGGGGCGACUAAGGAACAAAAAAAGCUUCUUUUCAAUAAUAAACAAUCAUGUUUAGAUCCGAUAAUAGCGAUCAAAGAAAUUAGUUACCGCAGGGAUAACAGCAUAAUCUCUCUUAAGAGACCUAAUCGAAAGAGGGGGUUGUGACCUCGAUGUUGGACUAGAAUAUCCUAAAGAUGCAGAAGUCUUUGAGGGUCGGUCUGUUCGACCGUUAAAAUUCUACGUGAUCUGA